This 440-nucleotide ribosomal RNA is filed under the name uncultured bacterium. RNAcentral describes it as "partial 16S ribosomal RNA". It matches the Rfam family "Bacterial small subunit ribosomal RNA", at positions 338 to 795 of the family's 1533-position model. The record is from RNAcentral.
CCUACGGGUGGCAGCAGUGGGGAAUAUUGCACAAUGGGGGAAACCCUGAUGCAGCGACGCCGCGUGAGUGAAGAAGUAUCUCGGUACGUUAAGCUCUAUCAGUAGGGAAGCAAAUGACGGUACCUGACUCAGAAGCCCCGGCGAACUACGUGCCAGCAGCCGCGGUAAUCCGUCGGGGGCCAGCGUUAUCCGGAUUUACUGGGUGUAAAGGGAGCGUAGACGGCAGCACAAGGCUGGAGUGAAAUCCCGGGGCUUAACCCCGGAACUGCUGUGGAAACUGUGCGGCUGGAGUGCAGGAGGGGUAAGCGGAAUUCCUAGUGUAGCGGUGAAAUGCGUAGAUAUUAGGAAGAACACCGGUGGCGAAGGUGGCUUACUGGACUGUAACUGACGUUGAGGCUCGAAAGCGUGGGGAGCAAACAGGAUUAGAUACCCGAGUAGUC